GAUGAACGCUGGCGGCGUGCUUAACACAUGCAAGUCGAACGGAAAGGCCCAAGCUUGCUUGGGUACUCGAGUGGCGAACGGGUGAGUAACACGUGGGUGAUCUGCCCUGCACUUCGGGAUAAGCCUGGGAAACUGGGUCUAAUACCGGAUAGGACCACUUCUUGGAUGUUGUGGUGGAAAGUUUUUUCGGUGUGGGAUGAGCUCGCGGCCUAUCAGCUUGUUGGUGGGGUAAUGGCCUACCAAGGCGUCGACGGGUAGCCGGCCUGAGAGGGUGUACGGCCACAGUGGGACUGAGAUACGGCCCAGACUCCUACGGGGGGCAGCAGUGGGGAAUAUUGCACAAUGGGCGCAAGCCUGAUGCAGCGACGCCGCGUGGGGGAUGACGGCCUUCGGGUUGGAAACUCCUUUCGCUAGGGACGAAGCGUUUUGUGACGGUACCUGGAGAAGAAGCACCGGCUAACUACGUG
Molecule: ribosomal RNA, 467 nt
Filed under: uncultured bacterium
Lineage: Bacteria
Description: partial 16S ribosomal RNA
Rfam family: Bacterial small subunit ribosomal RNA
Source: RNAcentral